CCUACGGGAGGCAGCAGUGGGGAAUAUUGCACAAUGGGCGAAAGCCUGAUGCAGCAACGCCGCGUGAGCGAUGAAGGCCUUCGGGUCGUAAAGCUCUGUCCUCAAGGAAGAUAAUGACGGUACUUGAGGAGGAAGCCCCGGCUAACUACGUGCCAGCAGCCGCGGUAAUACGUAGGGGGCUAGCGUUAUCCGGAUUUACUGGGGGUAAAGGGUGCGUAGGUGGUUUCUUAAGUCAGAGGUGAAAGGCUAGGGCUCAACCGUAGUAAGGCGUUGAAACUGGGGAACUUGAGUGCAGGAGAGGAGAGUGGAAUUCCUAGUGUAGCGGUGAAAUGCGUAGAUAUUAGGAGGAACACCAGUUGCGAAGGCGGCUCUCUGGACUGUAACUGACGCUGAGGCACGAAAGCGUGGGGAGCAAACAGGAUUAGAUACCCGGGUAGUC
Molecule: ribosomal RNA, 439 nt
Filed under: uncultured bacterium
Lineage: Bacteria
Description: partial 16S ribosomal RNA
Rfam family: Bacterial small subunit ribosomal RNA
Source: RNAcentral